GAGAGUCGUAAGCCAAGGGUCAGACUGAGAGUCGUAAGCCGAGAGCCAGACUGUGAGAGUCAUAAGCCGAGGGCCAGAUUGAGAGUCGUAAGCCAAGAGCCAGACUAAGAGUUGUAAGCCAGUGACCAGACUGAAAGUCGUAUGUCACGAUAAGCUUGGUGCUACUUCUUUAUUUUCUUUAUUAUUUGCUUAUGAAGAAUGGUGA
RNAcentral lists this long non-coding RNA (205 nucleotides) under Physcomitrium patens. RNAcentral's name for it is "long non-coding RNA (PPAT_LNC010763)". Lineage: Eukaryota; Viridiplantae; Streptophyta; Bryopsida; Funariales; Funariaceae. The record is from RNAcentral.